GGGGGUGUACUGGAUUCGACGGGAUGAGUAACACCGCAGGUUGCAUGUCGAGGAUGUCCAAUGGUUCUCGUAAAACAUCCAUUAUGGAUACAAAAUAAUUGACAACAAUUAUUCAUACCGCUUAGCAGCUUAAACUGCUUCGCCGUUCCUCUGGUUAAGUGCCUGUCAUUGCCAGACUGAACGCCAUACAAGAUAGGAUAGCGUAACUCGGUUUUCUGUCUUAGUUGCGUGAAUCUUUACAGAAUAGUGAGAAGUCGCUUGGUUGCUGGGCUCGGCUUCUUGCGAAAUUUAAUCAGCAGCUAAACAUGUAGAUAUUUGCAGGUUUACCUUUUCGGACCGGGGUUCGACUCCCCGCACCUCCACAA
This 365-nucleotide transfer-messenger RNA is filed under the name Balneolaceae. RNAcentral describes it as "RHLJ01 sp017640665 Standard tmRNA". It matches the Rfam family "transfer-messenger RNA". Rfam says of the family: Bacterial tmRNA, also known as 10Sa RNA or SsrA, is named for its dual tRNA and mRNA-like properties. Its role is to liberate the mRNA from a stalled ribosome. RNAcentral also lists the same sequence under 1 other name. The record is from RNAcentral. Lineage: Bacteria; Pseudomonadati; Balneolota; Balneolia; Balneolales.